RNAcentral lists this ribosomal RNA (377 nucleotides) under uncultured eukaryote. Its description in RNAcentral is "SSU rRNA". It matches the Rfam family "Eukaryotic small subunit ribosomal RNA", at positions 587 to 969 of the family's 1831-position model. The record is from RNAcentral.
AGCUCCAAUAGCGUAUAUUAAAGUUGUUGCAGUUAAAACGCUCGUAGUCGGAUUUCGGGGCGGGCCGACCGGUCUGCCGAUGGGUAUGCACUGGCCGGCGCGUCCUUCCACCCGGAGACCGCGCCUACUCUUAACUGAGCGGGCGCGGGAGACGGGUCUUUUACUUUGAAAAAAUCAGAGUGUUUCAAGCAGGCAGUCGCUCUUGCAUGGAUUAGCAUGGGAUAAUGAAAUAGGACUCUGGUGCUAUUUUGUUGGUUUCGAACACCGGAGUAAUGAUUAACAGGGACAGUCAGGGGCACUCGUAUUCCGCCGAGAGAGAUGAAAUUCUCAGACCAGCGGAAGACGAACCACUGCGAAAGCAUUUGCCAGGGAUGUUU